GACAGUGUCCUUGCAUGAAUGAACUCCUCAACUCUACCAUUUGCAAAUUGACCAAGAAGCUUAGGUCCUUGACCCUUCUUUGACAAGCAUUCGAAAGUUCUAAUCUCUUCAUCCCUAUUAAAAAAACGAUCUACUCCUUCACCAUACAUUCGAACCAAAACUCUCCUCGGGACGUUUUCGUUCUUAGUAGGCCAACUUAUCCUAUAAACCUCAUUAGUCAUAGCACCACUCAAAUGAUGAACUUUCAAGUUCUUUAGAUCCAACACAUCCCCCCAUUUUGUAGCUAAUGACAUGAGCAAUUUCAUCAAUUCCUCCGGCAAAAUACCAUCAACAACUCCAUUAGUCUUCACCGCCAUCACAGAAAGAAAAACAACAAGAGAAAAAGCUUCACAGAUUUAGGGGGAGCUAAGAAAUAAAACCUUACAGGUUCUAAAAAAAUAUAC
RNAcentral lists this unclassified non-coding RNA (443 nucleotides) under Hevea brasiliensis (rubber tree). The record is from RNAcentral. Lineage: Eukaryota; Viridiplantae; Streptophyta; Magnoliopsida; Malpighiales; Euphorbiaceae.